RNAcentral lists this ribosomal RNA (253 nucleotides) under uncultured bacterium. RNAcentral describes it as "partial 16S ribosomal RNA". It matches the Rfam family "Bacterial small subunit ribosomal RNA", at positions 524 to 776 of the family's 1533-position model. The record is from RNAcentral.
UACGUGGGGGGCGAGCGUUGUUCGGAAUUAUUGGGCGUAAAGGGCGCGUAGGCGGUGUGGUAAGUCUGAUGUGAAACCUCCAGGCUCAACUUGGAGCUUGCAUCAGAAACUGCCGUGCUAGAGUGUGGGAGAGGAGAGUGGAAUUCCUGGUGUAGCGGUGAAAUGCGCAGAUAUCAGGAGGAACACCGGUGGCGAAGGCGGGUCUCUGGGAAACAACUGACGCUGAGGAGCGAAAGCGUGGGGAGCGAACAGG